UACGUAGGGGGCUAGCGUUGUCCGGAUUUAUUGGGCGUAAAGAGCGUGUAGGCGGCCAGGUAGGUCUGCUGUGAAAACUCGAGGCUUAACCUCGAGAUGUCGGCGGAAACCAUCUGGCUAGAGUCCGGAAGAGGAGAGUGGAAUUCCUGGUGUAGCGGUGAAAUGCGCAGAUAUCAGGAAGAACACCCGUGGCGAAGGCGUCCAUCUGGCCCGUUACUGACGCUGAGGCGCGAAAGCUAGGGGAGCAAACGGG
RNAcentral lists this ribosomal RNA (253 nucleotides) under uncultured bacterium. RNAcentral describes it as "partial 16S ribosomal RNA". It matches the Rfam family "Bacterial small subunit ribosomal RNA", at positions 524 to 776 of the family's 1533-position model. The record is from RNAcentral.